UUUCUGGGCACCAUGGGAGUUUAAAAAAAUUUUUUUUUUUUUUUGGUACCGGAGAUCGAACUCGGGUCCUUGCGCUUUCGAGGCAGGUGGCAGAACCACUGAGCUAAAUCCCCAGCCCCCCAAAAUUUUUUAUUAAAAUGUUUGCAGUACAUAAUGAUGACAUUCAUCUUUUUUGGGGGGGAUGGGUUGGUACAUAUAAAUAGCACCUUAAUUCUUUUUCCAUGACAUGUUUUGGUACAUGUGUACAUUGUAUAAUGUUUGAAUCAGGGUGGCAGCCACUUCUUCCAGAAGCCCUGACAGUCAGCGAGAUACUUCACUGGGCUGAGAGGCAUGACUCAGCGUCUGGCUCCAUGGCAUUCUCCAUCUCCCAGAAUCGCAGUUUCAGUGCUCACCUCUGUGACUCAGCUGUCACGACCUCUCUGGGAACAAGCCCUGCCCUUGGAUACCACCCUGUUUUCGUGUUGUCUGUUGCCUCGGCCAAUGCUUAGCACCAUUCCUGUAUGAAGCUGCACAUUGGGGUACCAGCCCCUGCCAGCUGGGAAGCACAAGAAUACCAGGAGGUUGUUCUUUGUAGAAUCUACCAGUCAACUGAAAACGCCUUCUCUUCUGGCCACCAAAAGGGAAUAAAGAAUGCCAUGAAGAUUUAACUCAUCAUAAAUGAAUACACUUCUUUAUUUAAAAAGGCAUUUUUCUUUUUCAAAGGGAACAAAGGCGUAUUGACCAGCUGGUUAUUUAAGUUUAUGAAAACACAUAGCAUGGGCUGCUGAUGGUUUUCUGUAAUUUUUCAGUAAUAAUCGUAAGUGAAGAAAAAGACAAGAAAAUUUGAG
This 827-nucleotide long non-coding RNA is filed under the name Heterocephalus glaber (naked mole-rat). Its description in RNAcentral is "lncRNA (ENSHGLG00000034591.1)". The record is from RNAcentral. Lineage: Eukaryota; Metazoa; Chordata; Mammalia; Rodentia; Bathyergidae.